UGACACAACUUGGAAUCCCUGUUCCCUGC
RNAcentral lists this non-coding RNA (29 nucleotides) under Mus musculus (house mouse). Lineage: Eukaryota; Metazoa; Chordata; Mammalia; Rodentia; Muridae. The record is from RNAcentral.